Schizosaccharomyces pombe (fission yeast) is the source of this 1518-nucleotide non-coding RNA. NCBI's taxonomy places the organism in Eukaryota, Fungi, Ascomycota, Schizosaccharomycetes, Schizosaccharomycetales, Schizosaccharomycetaceae. The record is from the annotation of a GenBank genome assembly.
CAACGUUUUUUAUUUCAGGAAUAGUACAUUUUAAGUCAAACACCUUAGCCAAAACAAUUUUGAAUAUCUAAAAAUCGUCAAUAUAGUAUAUCAACUGAUAUUAUACCUUUUGCACAUUAAUAGAGUGUGAAGUAGAACAAAAUACCAAGCUUGCCUUCAUGGCCUUUGCAUAACGACGUGCCUAACCAAGUUAAUAAUACGACUUCUAGUAAUUUUUGUACCUGUUUGGUAAUCUCUUCUUGAUCUUCACGAGGAAAUGUCAUGAAAUGAUCGUAUUUUGUUCCAAUCAAUAUAGGGACAGCGGUCUGAAAGCGUUAGUAACUAAGUUAGAGAUAUACUGAGUACGAUAAAAAGUAAUCUAAUGAAGUUUAGCCACGAACAGAGGUUAUCGGUUCUAAAAACAAAAUCAAAACAACCCGGACGUGCAUAAACGUAUAUCGGAACGAAAGAACUCAUACCUUAUUGAAACCGCGAGCUUGACGAUACCAUUCUUUGAUAGAAUUUAAUGUGGAUUUCCUUGAAAGAUCGAACAUAAAGAGAAUUGCAACGGCAUCGUUACAAACCAUCGGUAGCAUGUUUACAAAUUCUCGCUGACCUCCAAGGUCCCAAAUUGAAAAGGUAAUUUCAGUGUUUCGAAUGCUUAUUGUUUUCUCCAUAAAAUUCACUCCUAAGUUUGUUAAGUUAGAAAUCUCCCAAUAAAGGUAAAUAUUUACCAAGCGUUUGUGUGCUUUCCUCAUCAAAUGAGCCCUGAACAUAAGUUACCAUAAGAGAUGUUUUGCCAAUUGAACUAUCUCCAAUCAUUCCGACUUUUAUCGUGACGUUAUUUUUUCUAGCAUCUGCCAUUCUUUAAAACUCCUAUCCUCUGAUAUUACUCUGCUUGAACCCCGGCAGUAGAUGAACAAUUUCCCUUUGCAUAGGAUAAGAAGCCUCGUUCGUGUUAUAAUAUAUAUAUUGGCUUAUUAUGAAUAGCGUAUUAUGACAUAGCUUGCUACGUCGUGUUACGUUGACUUGUACAUAUAUUUUUUUAAGCAAUGGAAAGAAUGCUGGUAAUAUAUUAGUUUGUAAAUUAAAACGAGAAAAGAUCUUUAUUUAUAAUAAGUAAUUAUAAAAAAGCUAGUUAUUAUAACUGGUGGGUUUACAGUAAAUUGUAGUUUUGAUUAUUUGCUAUCGAUAAUGUAAAAUUCCAUAACUGUUUGUGCUAAUUAUUGAGCCAAAUGAGAUGCGUUGUUAAUUGCUCUUGGAAUUAUUCGUAAUUCUUGUACUCAUAAGUUUGUUCGGGACUAUUUUUUCUGGGUUUUACUCGCAUUGCAACGGAAUUCGGGUUCUUACCAGGGAUUGUGGUACCGAGCCGCCAGGUGUUUAUGAAGCCAUAAUAUGAUAAAGGUACUAAAAUUGUUCAUAUACUGAUAAUUAGAAGUUACACUAAGACUGAACGUUAACAUGGCAGUGUCAUUUUUAAAAUGCUUGACGACCAGAACAAGCCAGUAAUAAUUAAUAUAUUAAGUCAACCAAAUGCCU